Juglans microcarpa x Juglans regia is the source of this 502-nucleotide long non-coding RNA. RefSeq lists it as uncharacterized. The record is from RefSeq and is a predicted model, not a curated record. The transcript is spliced from 2 exons. NCBI's taxonomy places the organism in Eukaryota, Viridiplantae, Streptophyta, Magnoliopsida, Fagales, Juglandaceae.
GAAAAUCUGUUCAUUGAUCCUUCACAGGUUAUUAAAGGGGCUUUACAAUUCCUAGUUGAUUCUAGAGAUGUAGUGCAGACGAAGGAAGUCAGUUCAAGUGAUGGGAAUCCAGUGUCUACCAUAAAAAAGUGGAAGAAGCUUGAAGAAGCCCUUGUUAUGAGAAGAAUAGUUGAAAUUUGCAUAGAAAUGGGAUUUAGAAGGGUGGUCUUUGAAGGUGCCUUAGCAAUCAUCAAUGCAGUGAAGGGUGAAGUAGAGUGCUGGACUUGAUAUGGUUAGAUAGUGGAAGAUGUGAAGAAGAGCCUAAGGGAGCUGUUACACUGGAAGAUCAACUUUGUUCGCAGAGAGGGCAAUGAGAUUGCUCAUAAGCUGGCAAAAAUUGCUUUAAAAUUAGAUAAUUUUAUAUGUUGGGUAGAAGAAUGUCUUGAUUUCAUUUCAAGUUUGAUUUUUGCUGAUAUGUCUUGUAAUGAAUAAUUUCUAUGAAUGAAUGAGAGGUUUUUUUUUU